This is a non-coding RNA of Callorhinus ursinus (northern fur seal), 90 nucleotides long. NCBI's taxonomy places the organism in Eukaryota, Metazoa, Chordata, Mammalia, Carnivora, Otariidae. The record is from RefSeq and is a predicted model, not a curated record.
ACUUGUGCUCUUCCGAUCUGAGCUCUCGCUGCCACAUUGAGAUGAUCCUUACCGAAAAAGAGCAGACUGUUCCUAAACCAGAAGAGGAAG